GUUCCCAGUGAUGCUCAACCAUGCUAAUGCUGAUCAUUGAUGAAUAACUCUUUCUUAAUAUUGCUGAGGGAACA
RNAcentral lists this small nucleolar RNA (74 nucleotides) under Salix viminalis (osier). It matches the Rfam family "Small nucleolar RNA snoR53Y". The record is from RNAcentral. Lineage: Eukaryota; Viridiplantae; Streptophyta; Magnoliopsida; Malpighiales; Salicaceae.